CCUACGGGUGGCAGCAGUGAGGAAUAUUGGUCAAUGGGCGCGAGCCUGAACCAGCCAAGUAGCGUGAAGGAUGACUGCCCUACGGGUUGUAAACUUCUUUUAUAAAGGAAUAAAGUGAGGCACGUGUGCCUUUUUGUAUGUACUUUAUGAAUAAGGAUCGGCUAACUCCGUGCCAGCAGCCGCGGUAAUACGGAGGAUCCGAGCGUUAUCCGGAUUUAUUGGGUUUAAAGGGAGCGUAGAUGGGUUGUUAAGUCAGUUGUGAAAGUUUGCGGCUCAACCGUAAAAUUGCCAUUGAUACUGGCGGUCUUGAGUACAGUUGAGGUAGGCGGAAUGCGUGGUGUAGCGGUGAAAUGCUUAGAUAUCACGCAGAACUCCGAUUGCGAAGGCAGCUUACUAACCUCCCACUGACAUUGAUGCACGAAAGUGUGGGUAUCAAACAGGAUUAGAUACCCCUGUAGUC
Molecule: ribosomal RNA, 460 nt
Filed under: uncultured bacterium
Lineage: Bacteria
Description: partial 16S ribosomal RNA
Rfam family: Bacterial small subunit ribosomal RNA
Source: RNAcentral